RNAcentral lists this ribosomal RNA (253 nucleotides) under uncultured bacterium. RNAcentral's name for it is "partial 16S ribosomal RNA". It matches the Rfam family "Bacterial small subunit ribosomal RNA", at positions 524 to 776 of the family's 1533-position model. The record is from RNAcentral.
GACGAACCGUGCGAACGUUGUUCGGAAUCACUGGGCUUAAAGGGCGCGUAGGCGGGUUCCCAAGUCCGGGGUGAAAUCUUUCGGCCCAACCGGAAAAGUGCCUUGGAUACUGGGAGUCUCGAGGGAGGUAGGGGCGGAUGGAACUUCCGGUGGAGCGGUGAAAUGCGUUGAUAUCAGAAGGAACGCCGGUGGCGAAAGCGACGGACUGGACCUCUUCUGACGCUGAGGCGCGAAAGCUAGGGGAGCAAACGGG